UACGGAGGGUGCGAGCGUUGUCCGGAAUCACUGGGCGUAAAGGGCGCGUAGGCGGCCGUGUAAGUCACUUGUGAAAUCCCGGGGCUCAACUCCGGGGCCGCAGGUGAGACUGCGUGGCUAGAGCACGGUAGAGGCGAGUGGAAUUCCCGGUGUAGCGGUGGAAUGCGUAGAGAUCCGGAAGAACACCGGUGGCGAAGGCGGCCCGCUGGGCAACUGCUGACACUGAGGCGCGACAGCGUGGGGAGCAAACAGG
RNAcentral lists this ribosomal RNA (253 nucleotides) under uncultured bacterium. RNAcentral's name for it is "partial 16S ribosomal RNA". It matches the Rfam family "Bacterial small subunit ribosomal RNA", at positions 524 to 776 of the family's 1533-position model. The record is from RNAcentral.